GUAGGUGAACCUGCGGAAGGAUCAUUAGAGAUUGGCCUCCGGGCCGUUUUCAAACACACACACCGUGAACCGUUCCGUCGUCCUUCGGGGCGGUGGCUUACCACCACAAACAAUGUAUACCAGAACGUGAAAUGUCGUAAACAAACAAAACUUUCAACAACGGAUCUCUUGGCUCUC
RNAcentral lists this unclassified non-coding RNA (177 nucleotides) under rhizosphere metagenome. RNAcentral's name for it is "partial ribosomal RNA internal transcribed spacer region". The record is from RNAcentral.